CUCAGGUCUCGGGUGACGGACCCUGGAAUUGGGCUCCCUCCUCUCUGGUUCUGUGUGCGCCACCUGAGAACAACA
Non-coding RNA from Myotis davidii, 75 nucleotides. NCBI's taxonomy places the organism in Eukaryota, Metazoa, Chordata, Mammalia, Chiroptera, Vespertilionidae. The record is from Rfam.